Molecule: non-coding RNA, 146 nt
Organism: Alternaria viburni
Lineage: Eukaryota; Fungi; Ascomycota; Dothideomycetes; Pleosporales; Pleosporaceae
Source: the annotation of a RefSeq genome assembly
GAAUGCGUAGUCCAAUGGUUAGGACGUCCAUGUCAUAUGAACUUCGUCACAAUCCGUUGGGGCUUCGGCACCGCGGUGGAAGACAACCGAUAAGUUAUUUUGGUGUGAGUGAGUGGAAGAUGCUAGUUCGAGUCUAGCCGUGUUCA